This 1461-nucleotide ribosomal RNA is filed under the name Pediococcus pentosaceus. RNAcentral's name for it is "bacterial SSU rRNA". It matches the Rfam family "Bacterial small subunit ribosomal RNA". The record is from RNAcentral. Lineage: Bacteria; Bacillati; Bacillota; Bacilli; Lactobacillales; Lactobacillaceae.
GGCGGGCUAUCAUGCAGUCGACGAACUUCCGUUAAUUGAUUAUGACGUACUUGUACUGAUUGAGAUUUUAACACGAAGUGAGUGGCGAACGGGUGAGUAACACGUGGGUAACCUGCCCAGAAGUAGGGGAUAACACCUGGAAACAGAUGCUAAUACCGUAUAACAGAGAAAACCGCAUGGUUUUCUUUUAAAAGAUGGCUCUGCUAUCACUUCUGGAUGGACCCGCGGCGUAUUAGCUAGUUGGUGAGGUAAAGGCUCACCAAGGCAGUGAUACGUAGCCGACCUGAGAGGGUAAUCGGCCACAUUGGGACUGAGACACGGCCCAGACUCCUACGGGAGGCAGCAGUAGGGAAUCUUCCACAAUGGACGCAAGUCUGAUGGAGCAACGCCGCGUGAGUGAAGAAGGGUUUCGGCUCGUAAAGCUCUGUUGUUAAAGAAGAACGUGGGUAAGAGUAACUGUUUACCCAGUGACGGUAUUUAACCAGAAAGCCACGGCUAACUACGUGCCAGCAGCCGCGGUAAUACGUAGGUGGCAAGCGUUAUCCGGAUUUAUUGGGCGUAAAGCGAGCGCAGGCGGUCUUUUAAGUCUAAUGUGAAAGCCUUCGGCUCAACCGAAGAAGUGCAUUGGAAACUGGGAGACUUGAGUGCAGAAGAGGACAGUGGAACUCCAUGUGUAGCGGUGAAAUGCGUAGAUAUAUGGAAGAACACCAGUGGCGAAGGCGGCUGUCUGGUCUGCAACUGACGCUGAGGCUCGAAAGCAUGGGUAGCGAACAGGAUUAGAUACCCUGGUAGUCCAUGCCGUAAACGAUGAUUACUAAGUGUUGGAGGGUUUCCGCCCUUCAGUGCUGCAGCUAACGCAUUAAGUAAUCCGCCUGGGGAGUACGACCGCAAGGUUGAAACUCAAAAGAAUUGACGGGGGCCCGCACAAGCGGUGGAGCAUGUGGUUUAAUUCGAAGCUACGCGAAGAACCUUACCAGGUCUUGACAUCUUCUGACAGUCUAAGAGAUUAGAGGUUCCCUUCGGGGACAGAAUGACAGGUGGUGCAUGGUUGUCGUCAGCUCGUGUCGUGAGAUGUUGGGUUAAGUCCCGCAACGAGCGCAACCCUUAUUACUAGUUGCCAGCAUUAAGUUGGGCACUCUAGUGAGACUGCCGGUGACAAACCGGAGGAAGGUGGGGACGACGUCAAAUCAUCAUGCCCCUUAUGACCUGGGCUACACACGUGCUACAAUGGAUGGUACAACGAGUCGCGAGACCGCGAGGUUAAGCUAAUCUCUUAAAACCAUUCUCAGUUCGGACUGUAGGCUGCAACUCGCCUACACGAAGUCGGAAUCGCUAGUAAUCGCGGAUCAGCAUGCCGCGGUGAAUACGUUCCCGGGCCUUGUACACACCGCCCGUCACACCAUGAGAGUUUGUAACACCCAAAGCCGGUGGGGUAACCUUUAGAGCAGCCUCUAGUACAUU